GAACACAACAUACAUAGAGGGAAACACCAAACAACUUUACUGAUAAUCCAUGUACAUGUACCUUUAAUCUAUACCUGUGAUACUAACAGAUUAAAUAUAAAAAGCAAUAAUUAAGUUGUUAUUUUGUACCUGUCAGUAGGUGAAUCUAUUGCAAUAAUGUAAUGUAGAGAUUAUCAUUGCUAGUUGUGUUGUGUAUAGUGACUGUGAAUGUAUUACAUGUACAGUAUUUAUAUAGCAACUGUUAAAAUAUUGUAUGUACAUUAUGUAGUGAGUGAAGACUUUGAAUUUUUCAUUUUUUAUAGUACAUGUCUACCUGUAUGUGAUUGCCGCAGAAUGUCAUGGUAGAUAGGACAUAUAUUUUACUGCAUAAGAGACAGAAAGUAUCAUGGAUCUGUAUUCAUUAUAAUUACAGAUUUAUUGACUUCACUUCUUGGUGUUUUAGGUUGGUUAUGGAACAAGAUAAGUUUCAUUUUGGUGAAAAACUAAUAUGAAAUUUAUUCUCAUUAAGUACUGAAAUAUUUUAAAACUUGAACGGAUAUUUUUUGGCCAUAAGAAAAAUAUAUAGUGCGACUCCAUAAUAGUUUACAAAAUACUAAUUAAAGCAACUAUAUCUGUAGAUUUUUUACUCGUUAAAUGCCGAUUUCUUCUUACAGUGAAAUGGGUUUAAGAAAUAGCGACAGCUUAUACUGUAGAAAAUGUUCUAUUAAUAUAUGUUUACAAGUUUUAAAGCACUGUUCACCAGUUAAAGAAUGCUACACAGAGUGACGCGUCUGUACACUGCACUCUGCUUACGAGCGGUAACACAUCCAUUGUUGGACCUUUCUAGGAGAAAGACUGUUUUGUACAUACACCCUUGUAUAGAAUUGUAAAUGAGGCUAUAUCAUAUCAAAUUUUCCCAAUUUAUCAAUGUGUGGACCACGAAGAAUGCCCAAAAACCCCACAAAAACUAUAGCAGUAAUAAUCUUCAAACAAACAUAAAAAGUGAGUGUAUGUUCAAAAUUAAAACCUGCAUUAACUUUAUGGGAUACAUAUCGUUAUAUAUAUCUUUAUCAGUACAAUAUCUAAAUGGUUUUGUCAGUACACAAUUAUGAAUACAAUACUGGAAUUUGAACCUAAAGUAAUGAUUGUAUACAUUGUAAUCAAAUCAAGCUUCAUACUAUUGCCACUACUGACACAUGUUUUAAAGUCAGCAUAAUAUUUUGUUUCAUACUGUUUACCAGGUUCUGAUUUGUUAAUACCCAGAAUAGGACAUCAUUACAUGUCAUAGUAAACUUGCUUUUUUAAGUCUUUUUAAGUCUUUGUUGCAGUAGACUAAUCUGUAAAAACUGGCACAAAUUUGUGCUGAUAUAUAUUUAUCUGUAUACAUUAAUUUGUAUGUACCUGAUAGAUAAAGAAAGAUGAAUUGAUUCUUUGCAAAGGGAAAUAUUUUGUCUUUUCCACAAGGCCUUUCUGCCUUCCUAGACUUCUCCAGACAGACAACCACCUGAAGAGCUUAUGAAGGCAGAAAGACCUUGUGGAAAUCUUGAAACUUAAGGUUGCGCUCUCAAUACACAGUACAUAUCUUCUCAACAGCCUUGGAUAAUGUCAUGGCAAAUUCAAAGUCUGCUAGCUAAGCUGAUGCCUGUCCUUUGAAGAUUACAAUGUUCUGACAUGACUGUAUACCCAAACUAAAGCAAGUUUUACCUUUUUACUAACCAGUAGCUCACAAUUACUUUCAUUGAGGAGGUAAGUUUUCAGAGUCUUGUUACAGAUUUGAGACUUGUCAUCCUCAAGGUGGCACAUAUAUUCCAAGAGUACAGAAAAACAUGUAUUUUUGGGAACCUUAAAUUGUCUUUAUGGUCAGGUGUAAAAUAUGUAGUUCAUUCAGUGUAGUUCUGUUAACGAUAUAACAUACAAGUCUAACCUUUCCACAGGGGCCUGUAACAGACCCCUAACCUCAUCAGCCCAUAGUAUUGUAUGUACCUGGUAUCUAGACUACAGUGAGGGAUAAGUUACAUGUGAGAUUUUCCUUCAGUAGACAGGUAAGUAGUCCGAGAGAUGUUGGACUACCUUUCAAGUAUAUAUCCGUUAUAUCUUAUCUGUAAAUAAUGUAGCAGUCCGAUUUGUGAGUAUGUUUCAGUAGUGAUCCUAUAGAUAUUGUACCAGUGAGAAACCAUUGUGGUUAGCCUGUGUUGGGGCUGAAUGUGACAAAGUGUGUGGAAGUCAGAAUCUGUUAAGGUGCGAUUAAUGUCUGGUGUGUGUGGACAACAUGAUACUGUUUCAAUGUUAAUUUACUAGUAACCUGAUUUGUAGUGUGUCCAUAAUUAUCAUAUGAAUUAUCUUCUUAUUAGAUCUGGGCGGUCAUAGUGUGAUAGCUAUUUCUGCAGCCCCUGGUUUGCCAUGUAAUAUUUACCAGCAUAUAUACUAUAAAAGGCUAUAUUUUAAUUUGUGUGUAUUUGACUGACCAGUGCAAAAUCAUGAGAUGUCCGACCAGUACAGAAUGGUGUGAAGCAUGUUAUAGUUUCAGUAUGUAACCCAUCAACCUUGCCUUAAUCUUACAUUGUUGUGAUUUAUACCAAGAAUUGUUUACCUAGCUUUGAGAUAUCUAUAUAACCCCCUGUUAGGGACCACCCUAUCACUUCGACCAUACAAUGCUUAACCAUGCCGGGUUGUCUCCCUUGUAUUGGUGACACAGUGAACUGGGACAUUCUUGUUUAUCAGUUGGACCAGAGUUGUUUAUGAACGGACCUGGGGCCAGUUUCUUCCUUAUCUGGAAUUUUCAUAGGAAACCAUCACAGAAUUUAAGGAAUGUUCAUUAACUAAGAUUGUUUCUCCUCUGUAAUGCUUUCCUAUGGAAGUUGAGGGAGGUUGAUGAAACCAGGACUUGGUGAUUUUGUGUUGUUUACAAAUGAGCCUUGACAAAGACUUCCAAGGCCUGUAUUAACAUCUUCAGGUCCAUCAAGAUCUAGGCCUAAAAUACUACAUCUAUUAAAAAAAACCUUUCAUCUUUAGAAACGAUCAGGCCUCUAAUGUCCAAUAUAGACAAGAUGUAUUGUACAGUAGCAUAUACAUUUAAUGAUACACAUUGCCUUCAUUGGAUCACAAUAUCAUCAUUCAAUGCUGUAUUAUGAUCUAUAAUCAAUAAUCCAUCAUAUUACUUGGUAGAACUCAAUGAAAUGCUGUAGGAAGUUCUUGCACAAUACAUUUUCUAAGGUAAAGGUUAUCGGUGUACUCGUAAAUAUGAAGAUACGAAAAAGAGUAAAUAGCUAAUCAUUAUAUUGAGUCUGUUUCAUUUUGAUGUUGUGGCAAUUUAGUUUCUGUAUAGUAACUUGUGUAAGAUACCCGGUGUAAACUGAUACGUCCCCGUCACUGUAGUUCAUUUUCCCCUUAAGCGUUCAGUAUAUGUCUCCGAUUCAUAUUGCACACUUUCAUGGAUAAAAAUAGAAUAUUUCAGACAUGUAACAAUAAUGUCAUCUUUUAAUAUAGUGGUGUCUGUUAACUGUGAUAUAUAAAAUCACUUCUGUUGUAUCAAAUCCUUUCAGUACCUGUGUUCAGAUAAGACUAACACUAUGAUUUACAACGUAAAAUGUCCAAUAUUUACUACCUGGUACUGUUACUUAAAAUUCUCAUAUAUACAAGCCUAUACAGUACAUUGUACCAUGGUAUCACAAACUGAAGACUAAUCGGAGUGAGGUCCCCUCCCCAAUUUUAGCCGUCCUUGAGAGGACUAGAGUUUAAUAUGAGGAUAUAUACGGUAAUACUGACAGGAGUAUCAAUAUUCUAUCAACCUUUGUUGUACAUGUAACCUUGGUGUUGUAAUCAAGCUGAUUUGAGGUACUUCAUAUAAUUUAUGCUUUUAUGUCCAACAUGACCAUAUCCCUAAUCUAGUUUGUGUUUUAAUCACUUCUUGUCUUUCAUUUUGCACAUGUUGUCAGACUGGUGCUAUGUGGUAAGUUGCACUUAUACUGUGUGUGUGCUCGUCAUAUAUUUACAGACAUCUCGUUUCUGGUCCGAUAUUGACAUUCUGUUUAUUACAGAAUAAAAUCUUUUAAACAAAA
Pecten maximus is the source of this 4037-nucleotide long non-coding RNA. RefSeq lists it as uncharacterized. The transcript is spliced from 2 exons. The record is from RefSeq and is a predicted model, not a curated record. Lineage: Eukaryota; Metazoa; Mollusca; Bivalvia; Pectinida; Pectinidae.